This 292-nucleotide ribosomal RNA is filed under the name uncultured bacterium. RNAcentral describes it as "partial 16S ribosomal RNA". It matches the Rfam family "Bacterial small subunit ribosomal RNA", at positions 505 to 796 of the family's 1533-position model. The record is from RNAcentral.
GUGCCAGCCGCCGCGGUAAUACGAGAGGCCCAAACGUUAUUCGGAUUUACUGGGCUUAAAGAGUUCGUAGGCGGUUUGGUAAGUGGGGUGUGAAAUCCCUCGGCUCAACCGAGGAAUUGCGCUCCAAACUGCCAGGCUUGAGGGAGAUAGAGGUGAGCGGAACUGAUGGUGGAGCGGUGAAAUGCGUUGAUAUCAUCAGGAACACCAGAGGCGAAGGCGGCUCACUGGGUCUUUUCUGACGCUGAGGAACGAAAGCUAGGGGAGCAAACGGGAUUAGAUACCCCCGUAGUCC